CAAUAGCGUAUAUUAAAGUUGUUGCGGUAAAAAAGCUCGUAGUUGGAUUUCUGUUGAGAGCGGCCGGUCCAUACCAUGUAUGCGUAUCUGGCUUGCUCUCGGCAUCCUCUCGAUAGACGUUACUGCGCUUGAUUGCGUGGUGCGGAUCUCGGGACUUUUACUUUGAGGAAAUUAGAGUGUUCACGGCAGGCUUUCGCCAGAAUACAUUAGCAUGGAAUAAUACUAUAGGAUCUUGGUUCUAUUUUGUUGGUUUCUAGAAUUGAGAUAAUGAUUAAUAGGGACAAUUGGGGGCAUUCGUAUCAACACGUCAGAGGUGGAAUUCUUGGAUUGUGUUGCGACGAACUACUGCGAAAGCAUUUGCCAAGGAUGUUUUCAUUGA
This 379-nucleotide ribosomal RNA is filed under the name uncultured eukaryote. Its description in RNAcentral is "partial 18S ribosomal RNA". It matches the Rfam family "Eukaryotic small subunit ribosomal RNA", at positions 592 to 976 of the family's 1831-position model. The record is from RNAcentral.